UGGAAACAGAGCUUAAGGACUAGGGAC
Molecule: non-coding RNA, 27 nt
Filed under: Rattus norvegicus (Norway rat)
Lineage: Eukaryota; Metazoa; Chordata; Mammalia; Rodentia; Muridae
Source: RNAcentral